Molecule: ribosomal RNA, 264 nt
Filed under: Triticum aestivum (bread wheat)
Lineage: Eukaryota; Viridiplantae; Streptophyta; Magnoliopsida; Poales; Poaceae
Description: partial small subunit ribosomal RNA
Source: RNAcentral
AUGGCCAUGGGGACUAGGCGCGCCGCUCUCUGCUUUCUUCUGCUAGUCGCCGUCUUCUUACAAGGCAACCCUACAUUGGUUUCAGCGGACGAGGAGUGCAAGUACAGGAUUCCGUACGUACCCUUCUGCAAGGGGUGGAGCUGCAAGGUGGAGUGCUGGCUGGAGGCCAAGCUCUUCCGCGCCCGUCUACAGGAGCACAAGUGCAUCAGGGGCGGCAUCAAGGGCGCCUGCUACUGCCUCUUCUGCGGGAAGCACCUCCAAUGA